GACGAACGCUGGCGGCGUGCUUAACACAUGCAAGUCGAACGGAAAGACCCUGCUCUUGUUGGGUGCUCGAGAGGCGAACGGGUGAGUAACACGUGAGUAACCUGCCCUUGACUUUGGGAUAACUUCAGGAAACUGGGGCUAAUACCGGAGAUGAGCUCCUGCUGCAUGGUGGGGGUUGGAAAGUGUCGGCCGUUUGGGAUGGACUCGCGGCUUAUCAGCUUGUUGGUGGGGUAGUGGCUUACCAAGGUUAUGACGGGUAGCCGGCAUGGGAGGGUUGCCGGCCACCAUGGGCCUGCGAGACGCAGCAGACGCCAAUGGGCGGCAGUGGUCGGGAAUCUUGCACAACAGGCGGACGCCUGUGGCAGCAGCGCCCCGUGCGGGAUGACCGCUUUCGGGUUGAAAACCGCUUUCGAAUUAGACGUAGCGUGAGUGACGGUAAUGGGUAAGGAAGCAACGGCUAACUACGUG
RNAcentral lists this ribosomal RNA (468 nucleotides) under uncultured bacterium. RNAcentral's name for it is "partial 16S ribosomal RNA". It matches the Rfam family "Bacterial small subunit ribosomal RNA", at positions 28 to 507 of the family's 1533-position model. The record is from RNAcentral.